RNAcentral lists this ribosomal RNA (532 nucleotides) under uncultured bacterium. RNAcentral's name for it is "partial 16S ribosomal RNA". It matches the Rfam family "Bacterial small subunit ribosomal RNA", at positions 30 to 543 of the family's 1533-position model. The record is from RNAcentral.
AGUGAACGCUGGCGGUAGGCCUAACACAUGCAAGUCGAACGGCAGCACAGUAAGAGCUUGCUCUUACGGGUGGCGAGUGGCGGACGGGUGAGGAAUACAUCGGAAUCUACUUUUUCGUGGGGGAUAACGUAGGGAAACUUACGCUAAUACCGCAUACGACCUACGGGUGAAAGCAGGGGACCUUCGGACCUUGCGCGAUUGAAUGAGCCGAUGUCGGAUUAGCUAGUUGGCGGGGUAAAGGCCCACCAAGGCGACGAUCCGUAGCUGGUCUGAGAGGAUGAUCAGCAAAGAUGUGACAGAGACUGGGGCCAGACUCAGAAGGGAGGCAGGAGGGGAGAAUAUUGGACGAGGUGCGCAUGCCUUCUCACGCCACGACGGGUGUGUAAAGAAGGACGUCGGGUUGUAACGCUCUUGUGUUGGGAAAGAAAAGCAGCAUGUAUCUACCCCUUUGUUCUGACGGUACACAAAGAAUAAGCACCGGCAAACUUCGUGCCAGCAGCCGAGAUAAUAGUCGAAAGAGCACAUGUUGAAC